Molecule: ribosomal RNA, 488 nt
Filed under: uncultured bacterium
Lineage: Bacteria
Description: partial 16S ribosomal RNA
Rfam family: Bacterial small subunit ribosomal RNA
Source: RNAcentral
GACGAACGCUGGCGGCGUGCUUAACACAUGCAAGUCGAACGGAAAGGCCCUGCUUUUGUGGGGUGCUCGAGUGGCGAACGGGUGAGUAACACGUGAGUAACCUGCCCUUGACUUUGGGAUAACUUCAGGAAACUGGGGCUAAUACCGGAUAGGAGCUCCUGCUGCAUGGUGGGGGUUGGAAAGUUUCGGCGGUUGGGGAUGGACUCGCGGCUUAUCAGCUAGUUGGUGGGGUAGUGGCUUACCAAGGCUUGGACGGGUAGCCGGCCUGAGAGGGGGACCGGCGACACGGGAAAGGAGAAAAGGGCAAGACUAGUACGGGAGGCAGCAGGAGGGAAUCUGGCGCAAGGGGCGAAAGCCGGACGGAGCAACGCGGCGUGAGUGAUGAAGGUCUUCGGAGCGUAAAAGUCUGUUAUUAGGGAAGAACAAAUGUGUAAGGAACUAUGGACGUCUUGACGGUACAUAAUCAGAAAGCCACGGCUAACUACGGG